GGACUACUGGGGUUUCUAAUCCUGUUUGCUCCCCACGCUUUCGUAGUUGAGUGUCAGUGCCCAUCCAGCUUGCCGCCUUCGCCUCUGGUGUUCCUCCCGAUCUCUACGCAUUUCACCGCUACACCGGGAAUUCCACAAGCCUCUCUGGGACUCCAGUCUCACCGUUUCCGGGGCACUUCUUGAGUUAAGCUCAAGGCUUUCACCCCGGACAAAUGAGACCACCUACCUACCCUUUACGCCCAAUAAUUCCGAGCAACGCUUGCACCCUCCGUAUUACCGCGGCGGCUGGCAC
This 292-nucleotide ribosomal RNA is filed under the name uncultured bacterium. Its description in RNAcentral is "partial 16S ribosomal RNA". The record is from RNAcentral.